Pelobates cultripes (western spadefoot toad) is the source of this 204-nucleotide non-coding RNA. Lineage: Eukaryota; Metazoa; Chordata; Amphibia; Anura; Pelobatidae. The record is from the annotation of a GenBank genome assembly.
CUAUUUAUUGCCGGGCUGGAUUGUGUAAUGUAGUCACAUGACAACUGAGAAAGGCUUAGCUACCAUGGCACAAAAAUGUUGAUUAAUAGGGUUAGAAAUGAAAAUAGGAAUACGGGUAAAAUAGCAGUAGAAUAUUGCAAAUGACCAUAUAUGCAAGUGGACAACCGGGUCACACGGUCAUUCUUAUUAGGAGUUGAUUAUUAG